RNAcentral lists this ribosomal RNA (305 nucleotides) under uncultured bacterium. RNAcentral's name for it is "partial 16S ribosomal RNA". It matches the Rfam family "Bacterial small subunit ribosomal RNA", at positions 355 to 652 of the family's 1533-position model. The record is from RNAcentral.
AGGGGAAUCUUCCACAAUGGACGCAAGUCUGAUGGAGCAACGCCGCGUGAGUGAAGAAGGCUUUCGGGUCGUAAAACUCUGUUAUUGAAGAAGAACGUGCGUGACAGUAACUGGUCAUGCAGUGACGGUAUUCAAUCAGAAAGUCACGGCUAACUACGUGCCAGCAGCCGCGGUAAUACGUAGGUGGCAAGCGUUGUCCGGAUUUAUUGGGCGUAAAGCGAGUGCAGGCGGUCUUUUAAGUCUGAUGUGAAAGCCUUCGGCUUAACCGAAGAAGGGCAUCGGAAACUGGGAGACUUGAGUGCAGA